UACGUAGGGUCCGAGCGUUGUCCGGAGUUACUGGGCGUAAAGGGCGCGUAGGCGGCUUUUCAAGUCGGGCGUGAAAUCUCCGGGCUUAACCCGGAAGGGUCGUUCGAUACUGUUGAGCUAGAGUGUGGAAGAGGCAACUAGAAUUCCGUGUGUAGCGGUGAAAUGCGUAGAUAUACGGAGGAAUACCUGAGGCGAAGGCGGGUUGCUGGGCCAACACUGACGCUGAGGCGCGAAAGCCAGGGGAGCAAACGGG
RNAcentral lists this ribosomal RNA (253 nucleotides) under uncultured bacterium. RNAcentral's name for it is "partial 16S ribosomal RNA". It matches the Rfam family "Bacterial small subunit ribosomal RNA", at positions 524 to 776 of the family's 1533-position model. The record is from RNAcentral.